UUCAUGUGAGUACUCAGACAAAAUCAUAUGGAAACAUUUAAAAUUUCGGUUUAAUUUAAUGCACAAAAACGUGUGUGUAUUUUCGAGGGAAGGAAUUAAAAUGGUCGGUAGGACGGCGAAAAUCCUAUGGGGUUAUCCGGAUCGUGCGAAGACGAGGCUAUUUCUGAAAGGAAGUAAGAAGGAGUUCAAUAUAGCUUUCGGUAUCAUAUCGGGACACAUAGGACUAUAGCUCACUUAUGCAAAUUCGCUGCAGCAAGUGAUGCCAUGUGAAGCAAAUGAUGCCAUGUGGGGAAUAUGAUGAAGCGUUGGAGCAUUUCCUAUGUUAUUGCCCGGUUUUCUUAGGUGGAGAUACAAUACCAUACAUGAACCAACUUAGGGGAAUGGUAUUGAAAACAAUUAAGGAUUUUUUUUUUGAGUGCACAACAAGCCGAUUACUGGCUUAGGUGUAUGUCCACAGUGGCAUGGGGCGGAUUUAUAUCUGCACCCUAUUUUCAACCUAACCUAACCUCAACUAAGUAUUUGAUCUUGUCAGAUGUCGAAAUCGUUCUAUUGAGGACACAUAGUGCAUCAAAUUGGACCACCUUCGUCUUUCUUGUGAACAAGCAGAUUUCAGUCUUCUCUGGGUUAACAUUGAGACCCAUAGGUCAAGUUCAAACUACCCGGUACUGGUCUAAGGACCAUCGAUAAAAGCCUCGACGUCAAUGCAUACCUCCAAUGUGUACGUCUUGGCAUCAAAGGUUACUUCUAUUCUAUGCACAACUUCAUGCAGAGCAGCUUCCACCGACCUUCCCUUGACAUAGGCAUGCUGUUUGUAUUUGAGCAGUUCGCUGGAUGUCCUAUAUACGUUCCAUGGUUUUGAGUAGAAACAACGUAAGGCUUAUAGGUCUGCUGGCCUUUGGUGUCGCAUAACGGCUAAAUUAGAUUUUGCUGAUUUCAUUCAGAAGGAAAUUCCCUCAUUUCAUAUUAAAAUUUGAAUAAAAGUUUUAUGUUAUCAUUGA
Long non-coding RNA from Stomoxys calcitrans (stable fly), 998 nucleotides. RefSeq lists it as uncharacterized. The record is from RefSeq and is a predicted model, not a curated record. The transcript has 4 exons. NCBI's taxonomy places the organism in Eukaryota, Metazoa, Arthropoda, Insecta, Diptera, Muscidae.